AGAGUUUGAUCCUGGCUCAGAUUGAACGCUGGCGGCAGGCCUAACACAUGCAAGUCGAACGGUAACAGGAAGAAGCUUGCUUCUUUGCUGACGAGUGGCGGACGGGUGAGUAAUGUCUGGGAAACUGCCUGAUGGAGGGGGAUAACUACUGGAAACGGUAGCUAAUACCGCAUAACGUCGCAAGACCAAAGAGGGGGACCUUCGGGCCUCUUGCCAUCGGAUGUGCCCAGAUGGGAUUAGCUAGUAGGUGGGGUAACGGCUCACCUAGGCGACGAUCCCUAGCUGGUCUGAGAGGAUGACCAGCCACACUGGAACUGAGACACGGUCCAGACUCCUACGGGAGGCAGCAGUGGGGAAUAUUGCACAAUGGGCGCAAGCCUGAUGCAGCCAUGCCGCGUGUAUGAAGAAGGCCUUCGGGUUGUAAAGUACUUUCAGCGGGGAGGAAGGGAGUAAAGUUAAUACCUUUGCUCAUUGACGUUACCCGCAGAAGAAGCACCGGCUAACUCCGUGCCAGCAGCCGCGGUAAUACGGAGGGUGCAAGCGUUAAUCGGAAUUACUGGGCGUAAAGCGCACGCAGGCGGUUUGUUAAGUCAGAUGUGAAAUCCCCGGGCUCAACCUGGGAACUGCAUCUGAUAUUGGCAAGCUUGAGUCUCGUAGAGGGGGGUAGAAUUCCAGUGUAGCGGUGAAAUGCGUAGAGAUCUGGAGGAAUACCNNUGGCGAANNGNCCCUGGACGANACUGACGCUCAGUGCGAAGCGUGGGGAGCAAACAGAUAGAUACCUGGNAGUCCCCGCCGUAACGAUGUCGACUNGAGUUGUNNNNGAGGCNNGGCUCNNANCUACGCGUAAGUCGACGCUGGGGAGUA
Molecule: ribosomal RNA, 864 nt
Filed under: uncultured bacterium
Lineage: Bacteria
Description: bacterial SSU rRNA
Rfam family: Bacterial small subunit ribosomal RNA
Source: RNAcentral